Molecule: ribosomal RNA, 705 nt
Filed under: Escherichia sp.
Lineage: Bacteria; Pseudomonadati; Pseudomonadota; Gammaproteobacteria; Enterobacterales; Enterobacteriaceae
Description: bacterial SSU rRNA
Rfam family: Bacterial small subunit ribosomal RNA
Source: RNAcentral
ACACAUGCAAGUCGAACGGUAACAGGAAGCAGCUUGCUGCUUUGCUGACGAGUGGCGGACGGGUGAGUAAUGUCUGGGAAACUGCCUGAUGGAGGGGGAUAACUACUGGAAACGGUAGCUAAUACCGCAUAACGUCGCAAGACCAAAGAGGGGGACCUUCGGGCCUCUUGCCAUCGGAUGUGCCCAGAUGGGAUUAGCUUGUUGGUGGGGUAACGGCUCACCUAGGCGACGAUCCCUAGCUGGUCUGAGAGGAUGACCAGCCACACUGGAACUGAGACACGGUCCAGACUCCUACGGGAGGCAGCAGUGGGGAAUAUUGCACAAUGGGCGCAAGCCUGAUGCAGCCAUGCCGCGUGUAUGAAGAAGGCCUUCGGGUUGUAAAGUACUUUCAGCGGGGAGGAAGGGAGUAAAGUUAAUACCUUUGCUCAUUGACGUUACCCGCAGAAGAAGCACCGGCUAACUCCGUGCCAGCAGCCGCGGUAAUACGGAGGGUGCAAGCGUUAAUCGGAAUUACUGGGCGUAAAGCGCACGCAGGCGGUUUGUUAAGUCAGAUGUGAAAUCCCCGGGCUCAACCUGGGAACUGCAUCUGAUACUGGCAAGCUUGAGUCUCGUAGAGGGGGGUAGAAUUCCAGGUGUAGCGGUGAAAUGCGUAGAGAUCUGGAGGAAUACCGGUGGCGAAGGCGGCCCCCUGGACGAAGACUGACG